Molecule: ribosomal RNA, 774 nt
Filed under: uncultured Neocallimastigales
Lineage: Eukaryota; Fungi; Neocallimastigomycota; Neocallimastigomycetes; Neocallimastigales
Description: partial large subunit ribosomal RNA
Rfam family: Eukaryotic large subunit ribosomal RNA
Source: RNAcentral
CGUCUAUAUACGUAUAGCAUAUCAAUAAGCGGAGGAAAAGAAACUAACUAGGAUUCCCCUAGUAACGGCGAGUGAAGCGGGAAGAGCUCAAAUUUGAAAUCUUAAAGGUUUCCCUUGACGAAUUGUAGUUUAAAGAAGUGUUUUCUGUUGGAGUUUCGGUAAAAGUUCUUUGGAAUAGGACAUCAUAGAGGGUGAGAAUCCCGUAUUUGACCAUUAUCUUCCAGCUUUGUGAUACACUUUCAAAGAGUCGGAUUGUUUGGGAAUGCAGUCCAAAAUGGGUGGUAAAUUUCAUCUAAAGCUAAAUACUGGCGAGAGACCGAUAGCGAACAAGUACCGUGAGGGAAAGAUGAAAAGAACUUUGAAAAGAGAGUUAAACAGUACGUGAAAUUGUCAAAAGGGAAGCGUUUGACACCAGUGUUGUUUUCUCGAAAAUCAAUUAAAAAUGCUGGAUUUUGUGUUGUAUUGACUUUAUCAGCUUUCUGCACUUUUUUCCUGUCUUUUUUAAUGCACUUUUCGUUUAACAAGUCAACAUCAAUUUCUUUUGUUGUAAAAGAGUCAUUGGAAGGUGGCUUUCUUUUCGGAGAAAGUGUUUAUAGCCUUUGACUUCUGCAAUCGGAGAGAUUGAGGUCUGCAGCGUAGAUCCUUCGGGGUUAGAUGCAUUUGUGCUAAGUUAUAGCCUUUCAUAGACAACUUGUUGACUAUGAUCAGUCAUGUAGCUUACUCGCUUAUGUCUAUUUUACCUACGCUUAGGAUGUUGACGAUCAGCUGAGCGCG